Molecule: non-coding RNA, 4191 nt
Organism: Misgurnus anguillicaudatus (oriental weatherfish)
Lineage: Eukaryota; Metazoa; Chordata; Actinopteri; Cypriniformes; Cobitidae
Source: RefSeq, a predicted model, not a curated record
ACAAUAAAACCAUGGUUAAUUUUCGUAAGGGACAUCAGUAUCAAAAUACCGGCAAAUUCGUUGAGAAAGCGGAAGUUACCUGUGGGGCGCGGCAAGCUCAGCGUUGUAUUUGUAAACAAUCCACAUUGUUCAUGUCCACAGUCCGUAUUUUGUUGUUUUCACGUCUGUGGUAAUAGCUGACGGUCGCGAAGUUGCUCGUGACCAAACAACAUUGCAUUAGGCGACGCAAACCGAAAAUGCGUCAGUACUGUUUGCACAUUAGGCUUCACUGGGGGCGUGCUAAGGACGGCAGUUCGGCAAGUAGAUGGUAAGCUGUUUUAAACAACUUUGGUGACGAAAUGUGGACGUAAACUUCAGGUGUGCUCGAGUUUCAAGCAGCGUGUGUGUGAAAACGUCCGUAAACAGUGCGGGGGUAAACGCGUCAUCUGUAUUAAAACGUUAUGAUUGGCUCGAAGCUGUCAGCGCGGUCUGACGUCGUACGUUCUAAAUACCGGUAAUCUAUAUUUUGUGUUCACACAUAGUGCUUACCAGUAAAUUACUGGUAAUCUUACAACCUCUCUUUCUCUUUUUUUUAAUUUACCAAAUUACCAGUAAAGACUGUAUGUGUGAAAGGGACUAGUGACAGCUUUGGUGCCCUUUUUCCAAGAGUCCAGCACAAGAAAUAACAGUGUAGCUCAACUGGUAGAGCAUUGCGCUAGCAACACAUAGGCCAUGGGUUUGAUCUUAAAAACGUAUAGUUUGAAUGCACUGUAAGUCGCUUUGGAUAAAAGCCAAAUGCAUAAAUGUAAAUGAUUUCAAGACAGUGGUUGAGUGUAGCUGGACAGUAAUCUGUGAGAGCUCGGUGCAUCAAUAAAACCCAUGCAGCCAUGCCUACGGGCUGCCCUGCGUUUUAAAGUCCCCUUAAUUAGGCUCUUUUAAAAUGCCUAAUUAUACAUUUAUUGUAGUUCACAAACACACGCAGAUACACUCUUCCACACACAAAUACACCUUCCCUGCCACAAACACAUGCAUAAACAUAUGGGAACACUUAAAUCCAUUUAAUAGCUAUUUACUGUGAUCUGUACUUUUUAUUUAAACACAUUUUCCACUCUGCAAAUGCUAUUUUUUCAUAAAACCGCCUUUUUAAAUUACAUGAUUAUCGUGCCAGCACUUAGAACAUUAGCAGUUACAUCUGCGUGUGAAGUGUGAUGCACUUGUGUACUGGAAAAAGUCAAACAAAAAUUACCUCUGUUAGGCUGGAAGAAGCUGAUGUCAGGCUAUAUCAGCCCCUGCUCUCCUUAGCAACACUAGGCUUGCCCUGAUAAUAAACGAGUCUCUCCCAAUGAGAAAAAAGCCUUUUUGGCAGAGCGUGAAUCAUGCAGUUUUAAUAAACAGUCAUGAGAGCUGGCCAGGCUAAACCUUUGAGGUCAGCGGUAGUUCUGCCAUCUACAGCGAGUCUGAAGUGCUGCAUACUGAGGGCCCUCAAAAAUGAAACCCGACGCCGCGGCAGCACAACGGGACAUGUGUUCACUCUUACUCUAAUGUGAAAAUGGACACUCAUACAUUCAGCUGUGACCUGUUUUAUGGUUUUACACAGUCAUAGAGCCCUAUAACUACUAAUGGGACACAAGCCUGUGCCACACAGCCGUAACACUUAACCAGCUGUUUCACAAGCAGAGAGACAGUGAAUCUUCAAGUGAAACACAAAUUACACUACAGAAUAAAAACAUGGACAAUUUCCAUAAGAAUUCCGACUCUAUAAUCACAACAUGGGCUAUUUGUAUCUGUUUAACUUAUCUAGCAAUAAAUCUAAAUUGUAUCAAACUUCAUUAUCUUCAUUUGUACAUGGUGUAUGAGAUGUAUGGAAAAACUAUGAAUCAUUUUAAAAUGACUUCACAAAGAGCUAGUAAAAUAAUGUUUUGUUUGAGAGGAUGACAGAUACUUUAGGAGGCCUAAAAUGGUCCAUUAAGCAUUUGGUGUUUUGUACUUUGGCAGGAGGAGAACAGCUGGCAGGCUGGGCACUGCUCAUACGGUUGUUAAAGAGAAGAGCUUGUUUUUUUUAAAGCUGUCAUUACCAACACUUUCUGCAUAAAGGGACAUUCCCACUGUUUUUUCAUCAAAAGUUUAUUUGGUAGCCAUGGUAACCUAAUGACAUAGUGGAACACAUGGAUUUCAAGCUGCAAGACAAAAACUCAAAUUCAUGUUGAGCCAAAGAGGUUGUGGACAGAGCCGGUGUGGGGUGAAACACAUGGCCAGCGUUCAGUCAGGUGAAAGUGUCUCCCCCAUGCUGGUGUCUGAAACACCCGUCUCCAGGUCCCACUGUGGCCCCUGCCUGCCAGCUGGAGCCCCCUGACCUCUCCAAUACAACAAGGCCCAGAGUGCAGUCACUGAGCAGGACACAUGAAUGGAUGCACAGGCAAAGCAGGACCCCCUGAAGCUUACUAGCAUUACACAGUUAAAAAAUUACUUGAAUAUAAGAAGAAACAAAUUAAAACACAAAAACAAGUAUAAGCAUGAAAAACUACAUAUACUUCAGUGCUUUAAUGCACAUAUAAGUCAUGAUUCACAGUCUUUGGAUGAUCUUGUCAUUUUCUCAAGGCUUUAAAUGCUUAGCUUUUUUCCUCUCUCAUAAUGGGUUAUUUCAAGAAGUCAACAUUGACUGGAAACGGCAAACCGUAAUGUUCGGUGUAAUUCUGCGAAACGGAUCUGUAGGCAGACAGUCGUAAAUUCCCCUACAUGAAAACCUUUCUUUCCUGUACUGAUAUCUCCCUCUUAGGCCCUAAAUCUUCCCUGCUAACCAUUAGAGCCAAACAGAGGGAUUGCUGACUAAUUGAUAACGUUACGAUUUGAAACAUUCUCAGAGCCCCUAAUUGAAAACAUUAGGGAGGAGGACUGGAGAUGUCUGGGGAACGAGUAGAGGGACUCGAAGGGGGUCUUUGAUCUUGGAGCUUGUCUGUCAUCCUGUUUUCUUUCAAAGUUUGCUGGUUUGUUUCAGUAGAUUCAGGGAGACUCUUGGGGACAGGAUGUUAAUGGAUCACUUAAAAGAGACCUAUUCUUUACGAGAAGGCUAAAGCGUUAUCAGCUGGGUUAAAGACAGUCGGGCCGCAGAGCUGCAUUUAUGGAGUGGAAGGAGGGGGGCUCAUAGAUAACCCUACUGAGUUUUACAGUAGCUUUUUGGCAGGGGAGUAAAUACACUUUUGAGGGAGGAAAAAUUGAAGAAAAGCUUUUCGGCGUUCAGGACCUUGUUUUAAUCAAUUUGUCACAUUGAUGUAAGACCACGGAUGUCUUUACAGAACUGAAGAACAGAUUUGCACUUUCGUUCUCAAAAUUUGUGCUUUUGUGAAUUAAAGUGUUUGAUUUUACCAAAGCUGACAAAAUCUAUAAACACUUUCUUGUUGUAAACAAUGCUUGGUUUUUUAAAUGAUUCAUUUAUUUCUCUUAAAGUGUCACUACAAAGCACUUGAAUGAUAAUUUACUGGAUUCCUCAUAUGUUAUCCAAACAAUCUUGAGGUAAAAUGUCAUGUGUUUCAAAUUGGUCACCCGUUGUAAACAGAGCAGAUGAAAUAACCCCUGUGGACAUGUCCUUGACAGAAAUGGGUUUAUUACCCUAAAACAACACGGUACUGUACCAUGUCAAGCUGUUGUUUAUGUAUAUCUUCUUCCAAUGUUUUACAGAUUCUGUGGUUAGACUUGGGCGAUGAAUAAAGGUUUUUACAGGCUCGUCUUAGGCCGGGCUCACACUACAGGAUUAUCGGCCCAAAUUUACCCCGUUUAUCUCCUCCUGAGAAUCUGUGAGAAAAUCGUGUCCUGGACCUCGAUCGUGUUUGAUGUUCGGCUCAGAUUAUCAUGUAAUGUGUGACGUUUACAGAGUAAAUCUUACUCAUCCCGAUGUGCUCACAAGAAAAUGUAAAAAGUGCAGAUGUAAAAAUGUGCAGAUGAAAAUCUUAAAGGUCCCAUUCUUUCUGUGUUUUUGAAGCUUUGAUUGUCUUUACAGUGCGCAAUAUAACGUGUUCAUGUUUCACGUGUAAAAAACGCAGUAUUUUUCACACAAUUUACUUAUCUGUAGACUGCUGUUUUCAGUGUCCUAAAAACGGGCUGAUGUCUUCCUUGUACUAUGAAGUCCCUCCUUCAGAAAUGCGUAUCGAGUUCUGAUUGUUUAGCUUGUUGAGUGUUUUGUGAUUCGAUAGCAGCUUAGCUUGCCGUUAGCUUAGC